This 14643-nucleotide long non-coding RNA is filed under the name Marmota monax (woodchuck). Lineage: Eukaryota; Metazoa; Chordata; Mammalia; Rodentia; Sciuridae. The record is from RNAcentral.
AACCACAGAUCUCUCUUAUUUUUCGGCAUUUUGGGGAAUAAUGUUGGAAUUCACUGUGGAUAAUGAGGAGACAUUUAGAAGACCUUCAGUGACUGCUGCCCAGUGUCCUCCCUGCACAGCACUGGAGUGUUCCCAGGAUGGUCAAGUUCUCCUAGGAUUACAUAAUUGGAGGUGCUGGAAACCCAUUUCUUAGCCUCCUACAACUUGCUACAGCUAUCUUUCUGCAAAGGAUUGGGCUAUGGCUCAGGCACAAGGACCCAGAUGGAGCGGAGCUUAAAAAAUAAAAUUAAUAUGCAUUUGGGAAACAAUUACUCAGGCAAACCAACACAUACAUAAUGGAUUCUGUCCAAAGCUUCAUUUUCCAAACUGCAGAACAAUAAUAUGCGUAUUAACCCAGGUGAGUGUCUAAGCAGAUUCUUGGCAGCCUCUGAUUAGAUAAAGGAGCUCAUGCAUCCUGAAUAUAAUUUACAUAGUUAAAAUUAGGCACUAUUACAAAGGGACAGGGAUGAGAUGCAUUAAAGUUCAAUUAAUUGUCACUUUCAAAUUUUCUUUUUUACUUUUAAAAAAUUCUUAGUAACUUUGAAGUUUAAGCAUCAUUUUAUUUUCUUUCCAAAAUGGUUAAAUCUGAGUUUUAACUUAAUUGUUGAAUGUUUAGGAGGCUCUAGUAGUGGAAGGUCUUUUUAAAAAUUUCUUAGAAACAAACAAACAAAAAUAUAUAUAAAGAAACGUAAAUUAUGUAACCUUAUUUCUUAUUAAUUCAUGGAAAAUUCAAAAUGAUGAUUUAAUACUAUUCUUGUUUGUAGAUAUAGCAGCAUCUGAUAAAAUACAGGGAGAUUUCUUAAACAGAAAUAAUUUGCCAGAAGUGAAGACAUUUCAAAUUUAAAGUAGAGAAAGAAUUUCAAAAUGCACUUAAUUAAUGAAAAUCUGAAUAAAUCAUUUUGGAAUGAAAAUGAAAUUUCUUAUACUUAUAAAUUUAAAAGCAAAUGAAUAGUGAAAUGAAAAGAAAUCAUAAAAAGGAUCAAUGUUUUAUUAAAAUAACAUUUUUUCAUAUCAUUUUUUCAUGACAAUAAAGUAUGAGUAUUUAAAUUCAUAUUUUUAUUGAUAAAUCAUACUCGUAUAGAUUUGAUGUUAUAUACUAAUGUGUCUUGCUUAUUUCACUUAACAGGUUCAUCCAUGUUGUAAAUGACAGGGUUUCCUUCUUCCACUGGGUAUAUAUAUAUCACAGUUUCAGUUCAUUCAUCUAUUGAUGGACACUUAGAUUGAGUCCAUAUCUUGGCUAAAGUGAAUAAUAGCAAUGAACAUGGGAGGGAAAAUAAUCCUUUUGCUUGUUUAUUUCAGUGCCUUUGGAUAUAUAUUCAGAAAUGGGAUUGCUAUAGUAGUUCUCGAUAUUUUCCAUAUUGUCUGUACUAAUUUACAUUCCCACCAACAGUGUACAAGGGUUCCCUUUUUCAAAAUCCUUGCUAAAACUUGUCUUUCUUCUUUUUAAUAAAAGUUACUCUGACAGGUGUGAGGUGACAUCUUACGUGGUUUUAAUAAUGCAGUUCUCUAAUGAUUAGUGAUGUUAAGGAUCUUUUCAUGUAUUACCUGUUGGCCAUGUUCAUGUCUUUUUUUUUUUUUUAAUUUCUUUUUGCGUCCUUGGCCCAUUUUUAAAUUGGAUUAUUUGUUUUCCUGCAAUUGACUUGUUUCAUAUAAGAAUAUAAGAACUCCUCAUGCAUUUUGGAUAUUGUUAUGAUUUGGAUGUAUGUUGGUUCCCAAAGCUUAUGUAUGAGACAAUGCAAGAACAUUCAGAGGUGAAAUGAUUAGAUCAUGAAAGUUGUGACCUAAUUGAUGGAUUAAUCCUCUGAAUAUGGAUUAACUGGGUAGUAACUUAGGAAGAUAAGGUAAGCUGCUGGAGGAAGUGGGUCACUGGAGGGAGGCGUGACUUUUGGACUUAUAUUUUGUCCCUGGUGAGCAGAGCUAUCUCUGCAUCCUGGUUUCUAUGUCUUAAGCUGCUUUCAUCUACCACACUUCUACCAUGAGGUCCUGCCUGCCUUGGGCCCAGAGCAAUGGAUUUGGCUAUGCAUGGAGUGAACCUCUGAAACCAUGAGCUAAAACUUUUUCUCCAUUAAGUUGUUCCUGUUAGGUAUAUUGGUCACAGUGACGCAAAGCUGUCUGAAACAAAUAUUAAUCCCUUGUUAGAUGUAUCAGUUUGCGAAUAUUUUGUAUUAGCCCGAGGGUUAUCUCUUCACUUUUUUAAUUGCUAAGGUUGAGGGCUGAAAAAGAAAAGACAUCCAUACUUAGACAUGAUAGAAAAAAAUGACUUUUUGAAAUCCACUCUUGGAAUAGGAACUAUCAUUUGCCGAGUACCCACUAUACUUCAGACGUUAGCUAAAGAUUGUAUUUGAAUUAUAUCAUUGAGGUCUGUCAUCAGCCAUAAAAGAGUAUAUUUUCCUCAUUUUACUUUAAACAUGAAACAUUAGGCAAAGGAUUCCUAGCACAGUAAAGAGGAUUAGAAUAUAACACAGGCAGUGACUGGUUCUCAUCCAUUUUGCAAUAAAAAGACCACAGUAUUAUCAUAUCACAUCAUAUUUUUCCUUUUGGUAUUGAAGGGUGAAUCAGGGUGCAGCAUUUGAUUCUCUUAGUGGAAGAAUUUUUCUUGACACUAAUGCCAUUCAAGAGCUUUAAUUUUUCAAGUCUUAAGGAAGGCAUACUUCAUCACGGAGAGUUCCUUUCUUUACAUCAUCAAUAAAGAGCUGGGUAAGUUAAGGUUUUUCUUUAUCAUGUAAAAUUAUAAUAAUUUGUAAUCAUGGGAGUUCUUUCCAUCUUUUACCCGAUGUAGCCUGGGUAAAUGAAGUUGUAAGGCAUUUUAUGUAUAAAAGCACUACCAAAAAUACUCCCUUCCAGGAGCAUAAAUUGAUACUUUGGGGAUGAAACAAAUCAGGUUCAAUAGCUUCCCGCCAUAAUGAUGGUGGGCACACAGGUAAGAGAAGGUAUAUUUUGUUUUCUCUUUCAAAUUCUUAAAUCAGGAGAUAAACAAACAAAAGGAGAAAUUAAUCCAAGAAAUAAAACAAGAACUCUUUGUGCAAUUUGUGCUUCAUGUAUUCUGUAUUCACGUCGAUAUAAUUUUUCAUGGAUUUUUUGAAAUAAGAAAGACAAAAAAAUGCAUGUAUGUGUAUGUACACACAUACAAGCAUGAAACUAAGUGCAUAAAAGAUCUAGAAUAUAAUUAUAGAGGCUCUUCUUUUUAAAAUUCACAUUUUAUUUUCAUGUUUAUGCAGGUGAGGUUCGAAAACACAGAAGACAUUCAAUUCAGAAUUACGGUUUUCACAAAAACUGCUGCAUAAUUCUCUCUCACAUUUAUUCAUAUUUUUAUAAAACAUAUGACCAUUUCCAAAACCUCUGGGUAUAAUAACAUAUUUUAAAAUACCAGCACAAUUACCAAGCUGAAAAAGAGCACUAACUAGGCAUUUUUCCCAAAGAAAACCAUUUCAAACAUCUACUUGGAAUUAUAUAUUAAGCCCGGAAUAUAAUAUUCCAAAUAUAUAAAAGAAUGAGUUAUCAUUUCUUUGGGAGUUGUAACUUUGGAUUUUAGACUUCUGUUUAGUAUUUCAAACGUGGCACUGCAUUUAUGUAAUUUCUGGGUGGGUAUUGAAUAUACAAGCUUUGAUGAUAAACUGGCUUCCCUUCAUUUCCUUGAAAUCAACACAGAAUUUCAUACCUAUUUUAAUACGUGUUAGGUUUUCUGCAUACAAAUGAAGCAUUACUAAACAAUUCCAACUGUAUGUUUUAAAAAAUCAGCACAGUUCAAUGUUUCCCUAAUUCUCUGAGUCUGGGGAACAUAAAUAAUCAUUUUAAUUCUCUGGUAGACACUGAAUUACAUAGUAAAUUAUAUCAAAGCCUGGAAAAGCUCCAUGUUUUUAAACUCACAUAUUCCUUUUAUAUGAAGAAUCUGAGAUAUGCAUUAACUCCAAAUGGUAUUUAAAGUUUUGACUAAAAUUAACUAUAGCACUAGAAAAAAAAUUCUUACUAUUUUAAGAAAAAAGCUCCAGAGGCGAUUUGGAAAAAAAAAAAGAUUUUAUUGAAGAAGAGAAAGGCAGAAAGAAAGAGAGAUAAUUAAUAGGAUAUACUAGAGAUGAAUAACUAAAUGAAAAUAUACAGAUCUGUCAGAGCCCAGAGCAGUCAGAAUAAUAUUAAUCAAAUCUUACUGACUCUUAAUUGGAAUAAUGAGAAAACAUUCUUAGCCUGCUUGAUCAUGUUGGCAUUUUAAUUAAACUUUCUUGGAUCCCAGAGAAAACAAUAGUUUUUUUGUUGAAACUCUUUUUGUUCGACUGUUACCAAAAAUACCUUUGAAGGCAGUAACCAAGUGAUAUAAUUGGGGUCUUUAUGUGUGGCAACAAGCAGAACAUGUUACCAUAGAUUCAAAACUUUGGCUUUUAAAAAGUUGACUAUAAAUCUGCGGCUACAAGAAACCAGAACAAUGAAAUGUGGAUUUAAUUAGAACAAACUUCCCACAUUUUCAAAGAUAAUGCCCUGGUUAUUCUUCUAUAGCAUGUACCUAAUAGAACAGUUCUGGUCUAGUGGAAUAAAGAUUUUCAAUAAAUAAAUAGCUGACAAUUUAAUACAUACUUAUAUAACAUAUUAUGUACCAAAGGCAAUGUUCUUAGUGCUGGAGAAGUAUUACUCAUUUAAUCUUCAUAACCACCUUCUAAUAUAGGUAUCAUUUUUAUUUCCAUUUUAAUGAUGAGGACACAGAGGCACAGAGAGGUUAAUAAUUUGUCUGAGAUUGGAUUGUAUAGCUAACUAGCUGCAGAGCAGGAACUUAAACUAGGAAAUAUGAUUUCAGCAUCUGUUUGUUCAACCCCUGCACCUUGCCUCCCAACACCUUCCUCAAAUACCUUUUGUGUGCCCAUCAAGUCUGAUUCGAUGGUAUACAGGUAAUGUCUCAUUUCAUCCUCAGAAUAGUUCUGUAAACUAAGUAUUAUUGUCAUUUUACAGAUGGGCAAAAUAAGGCACAGCAAAAUUAAAUAACUUGAGGAAUGACUAAAAUGGAAGAAUGACUAAAAUUAAAUGACUAAAAUGGAAGAAUUUAAAACCAUUUCUGUCAAACUCUAAAGUGAAUGUUUUGUCCAAUAUCUUCCCAAUAUGCCAAAGUUUUUUUUUGUUUAAAGAUUCAGCCAUUUGAUUUAUUACCUUACAUUCCCUGUGCUCUUUCAGUACAUAUAUACUUUACGUUUUUAAUAAAAUUAAGACAUUGAAACAGAUAAAUUGAAAUUCAUGUGAUUAUAGAUAUAGAUUAUAGAUAUAGAUUUUAGAUAGAGAUAUAGAUUCAUCCCCAUCUAGGGAAGCAUCUAUGAGGUCAGACCCUUAUGUAAUUUGGGGGGAUCAAUUUUAGAAUAAAGAGUGCAUUUAUGCUUGCAAAAUUAGACAUGUAAGUAAGUACUCAUUGUGAGCAAAGAAAAUGACAUAACAAAUGAUGAUACUAUCGUACCAUGAUGCAGUCUCUGAUCUUUGCAUCCACAUGCUGGGUAAGUCUUCACAAUGGGCUGAAGUCCUCUAGCUGGAAUGUUAGCCAUAGUUUCAUGGUAGUUCAUGACCAUAAAAAUGCGUUGCCAUGGCUUUUGUAAGCUUUUGGGUAUCAUUUUGGAACAUACACAAAUAAGCAAGGGUUCAUGAUGUUAGUAACUUCAUUAGCUUUGCAGUAAAUUUAGGUUUGCAGUGAAUCUGUCAGGCACCCACUUUCUUCUAGGCAAGGUGUGCCCUUCUGCAAAUGCAAGCUUGCCAAUCAACAACUAUAGUAGGCCAGCAUCAUGAACAUGUGGUCUGACCGGGAGAACUCUGGAUAGAAAAAGAGAGAAAAUGCCAUUCUUCAUUUCUGAUCAGAUUAUACCAAUCUAGAAAUAUUGGAGAAAAUCUAUAAUAAUUUACACUUCAAAGUAAGAAAAUAGAUAAAACUUUGACUUUUUUUUUUUUCUGGUCAAGAAAACAUUGGUAGGAAGAAAUUCUGCCUAAGAGUUCAAUUUAGAUCCAAGGGAAAUAAAAAAGUUUUGACCUUUCCCUAGGGCUUUCUGGAAUCAGAAAUGGUGAGCAAGGUAGAGGGGAAGUUAUUUUCAAGCAUAAUUAAAAAAAUUGCAUCUGUAUUGGAGAUGGAAAAAGAAGAAAUGAAAACUGAAAAUCUCUGCAGAAUGUUGGAAAACAUUAUUUCCAUUCCAGGGUGAGAAACUUGGAGAUUCACUUGCUCUCUAAGAAAUGCUCAUCCUUAAUGAUUAAUCUGUUACUUGCUUUAUGAAUACAGAAAGUCAGAGUGAAGAAAAACAUAAAAGAUCCUCCUUGUUCCAGCCCCAAUUUCAUCCCCCCUCAGCAAGUAUCUGCAUUAACCAUAGGAGACUGGAAGCCCAUAGAGAGCACAAAAAGGUAUUCCUCACAACAUUCUGGAGAAGUUGAAGACAGAGAACCGCCCCAGAUCCCCCACUGAGGGAUUCCUGCAGUAGAGAAGCAGGUCUCUGGGUGACAGGUGCAGUGCAGGGCUUGUCUUUUCUCCCCUGCAUGUGCAGAGCCUGGGGCAGAAGAUGGAGACCUCGAUGCCAUUGGUCUAAUCAUUUUCAAGUUAUAAAUCAGAUAGUAAAUCAUUAAAUAAAAAUAUGUAGUUAUUUUCUACCUUGAAAAAAAUGUGCUUUCAUAAUGACAAAAUGGAAAAAUAUGUGCUAAAGUUAUGACUUUCAGAUGACUGAAAGUUGGCAAAAUGUAUCAAAGAUGACUGAUUUGACUAUUUUCAUAAAUGGUUUGAUGUUCUGUUUAUGGGUCAAAGAUUUAUGAUUAUAUAAUAAUGACAUACAUAAUUUAUAAAUUAUCUUUUUUUAAUCCAUAUAUUUACUUUUUAUUGAAUUUGUUAAUGUUACAGAGUUCUCGCACUGCCAAACCAUGCCUGAGAAUCCAAAGAAGGAAAUGGUAUAAUGGACAGCCUCAUCAACCCAUCAUACAGUAUAUUAAAACUUGAUUCAUAUGCAUUUUGAGAAUUUCACAAUCUUUUAUAAAAUUAUAACAGGAGUUGGAGUUUAAGUCUGCCGAAGGUCUUCAAAAUUUCCAGUACAGUAUGCCAUUAAAUAAAACCGCCUCAUAUUCAUCUCAGUUCAUUCCUCAACAAUAUAACCCAACAAAAGUUUGUGGGAAAAACGCAUACUUUAAGGAAAAUAUGUGGCUCAGGGUCCAAGAGAUUACUUGUUAAGUUUUUUGGCUCCCAAAUCAUGUCUUCAGUAUAACCAAGAAUUUUAAAAUUCUCCUUUAAUCAUCCUACCUCCCCGCUAUUUAUUUUAUAAAGUUUCUUUUUUUCUUUCCUGAAUUUCACUAACUAUAUUGUUGUAACCAAAAUUUCACAUGAUUUGUUUUCUUGGCAGUAAUUAUCUAAAGGAGGGGUUGUAAACACGUCAGAGAAACAAAUACUAGAUACUUUAGGUUUUCCAAAUAUGUGACCUCUGCCACAACUGCUCAGUUCAACCAUUACAGUGCUUAGUUUUCUACAGACAGUAUGUAAACAAACAAGUGUGACUGUGUUCCAAUAAAACUUUAUUUACACACGCUGUACCCUGUUGACCCUGAUGUAAAGGGUUUACACAUAAAAUGAAGUUCCAAGGAGAUUCCAAGAUGGCGGAGGAGAGGAGAACCUGUUACUGGCUGCUCUGUGUGUGACUCUGAGGGAGAGGUAGGAUGUUUUCCCCCACGGGGGCUCCCAUUAACGAAUUUAAGCUUCUUGGGUCGUGUGACAGGAUUCUAAACAGCAGAUUGUUGCAAGUGAGCACAGAACGCAGGGAAAGCAGAGUUGCUCUUUGCCACUGAAGCAGGCCAGCAGUGCCUUGCUGGAGCCCAACGGCAGAGUUUGGGGGGCAGCUUUCUGGCAGCACGGAGAGGCAGGGUUAUUGCUGCUUCAGGGCUGAAGCACGCCAGACUGCGACCUCGUCAGCGCCGGAUGCCAGACCGAGGACCGAGUUCAGGACAUAGCAUAGGAACAGCCCAGCUCCUUCCACCUCACUGGACACCCCCCCGCGGGAAAGAGACGGUCUCCAUCUUGGAAAAUCUAUCUCGUCAACUUUUGGCGGGUGUGGCUGACAGCACGGAUGGGCAUCUGAACAGGUGUGUGGUUCCCAGCCCCCCCAUCCCCAGCUGUGAUAAUUCAAAACUGUUCUGGCCAGCUUUUGGUGGGCUUGGCCAUCAGAGCUGAGUGCAACUGAGAAGGUGCCUGGUCUCCAACUCCCCUCCCCCAGUUGUAAUAACCCAAAACCUUUCUCGCCAACUCUUGGUGGGUGUGGCUAUCAGAGGGAAUAGACAGAACAGGUUGCCGGUUUCCAACUCCCUCUCUCCCUAGCUGUGAUGACAUGGUGACCACCCAGCACAGAGAUAGCGCUCAGUUGAUCAGGAGCGCGAGGUGGCCAGGGCAUCACCCACCCAGAGUGAACCCAGGGCUGUGGACAAGAGAUCCAUCAAUUGGGGCCUGGUGGGCAAGAGAGGGGAGGGGGAUAGAGACUGGGAGAAACCCAGAGAGACUGGGAUUGGAGAGGCACCCGGAAGGUAAGGGAGAGCCGCCUCACAGGGUUGCUUCCACCACCCUGAGGGCAGAGACCCAACCUGGAAUGCACAAACCCACCUACUGGAAGAGAAGAAAACAGAAUUCUAAGAGUGAUUUUUUUUCCUUUUUUUCUCUUUUUUUUUCUUUUCCCUUCUUUCCUUUUUUCUUUUUAUCUAUUUCUUCUUUUUUCCUUUCCUUUUCUUUUCAUCCCUUUCUCUCAAUCUCUUUUCCCCCUUUUUUUCUUCUUUUUACUUUUCUUCCUCCUUCUCUUCCUCUUUCAACUUCCUAAGUGUUACUAUUUCUGCUACGUGUAAUUUACUAAAUGCAAAUAGAUGUUUGUUUCUAUGCUUCUUAUUGUCCUCCCAUGUACUUGUCUACCCUAAAAUACAUCCUGUCUAUUCCCCUGCUAAUAACCCCUUCAUUAAAAAAAGAGUUCUCCUCCAAAGUUGCUAAGAUAUAUUAAUUCCAUACCCUCACAUCUUUCCCCCUUAACAUAAUGUUCUACGUCCGACCCUCAGUUCUCUAUACGCCAUCAGAAACUGUAUGCCUUUUAUAAAACUAAUGACUAUAUUUUAAAUAAUAAACAUUUCUAGACAUAGAGACUAACUAUAAAUGUAUUAAUAACAAAAACUAGCUCAUAGAUGAUGUAUUGUUGAUAUUGGCAACUGUUAAUAUUGUCUUUCCCCACAAAGGAGAGAUCUCGGAACUAUACAAGAGCAAUAUAAAUCUAUAGGGAAAAAAUAAUAACACAACAGUCAUACAGAGCUGGAAAGAAAUGUGAGCAAAAUGAAAAGACAAAGAAAGAAAGGACCACAAACAAUGCAAGACAAUACAACUUUAGAAGAGGUAACAUCUACAGCAGAAAGAAUGUCAGAUAAAGAUUUCAAGAUAUACAUGGUCAGAUGUUCUGGAGUCUCAGGGAAGACAUUAGACAACAAAUGCAGACAAUGAAAGAUCACUUUUAUAAUGAAUAACAUAAACAAAUCCAAGAAGCAAAAGAUCAACUCUACAGUGAGAUAGAGUUUAUAUAUAUAUAUAUAUAUAUAUAUAUAUAUAUAUAUCCCCAGAAGUCCUAGAAAUGAAAGAAAUGAUAAACCAAAUUAAAAACUCAAAUGACAGUAUUACCAGCAGAGUAUACCACUUAGAAGAUAGGACAUCUGACAACGAAGACAAAGUAUGUCAUCUCAAAAAGUACUUAGACAGAACAGUGAGACUGAUAAGAAACCACGAGCAGAACAUCCAAGAAAUAUGGGAUAGCAUAAAUAGAUCAAAUUUAAGAGUUAUUGGGAUAGAAGAAGGUAUAGAGGUCCAAACCAAAGGAAUGAGCAAUCUAUUCAAUAAAAUAAUAUUAGAAAACUUUCCAGACAUGAAGAAUGAAAUGGAAAUCCAUAUCCUAGAAGCCUACAGGACGCCGAAAGUGCAAAAUCACAAAAAAUCCACACCAAGACACAUUAUAAUGAAAAUGCCCAACAUACAGAACAAGGAGAGAAUUUUAAAAGCCACAAGAGAAAGGAAGCAGAUUACAUUUAAGGGUAAACCAAUUAGGUUAACAGCUGAUCUUUCAACACAGUCUCUGAAAGCUAGAAGAUCCUGGAACAUCAUAUUUCAAAUGCUGAAAGAUAAUGAGUUUCAACCAAGAAUCUUGUAUCCAGCAAAAUUAAGCUUCAGGUUUGAAGAUGAAAUAAAAACCUUCCAUGAUAAACAAAAGUUAAAAGAAUUUGCAGCUAGAAAACUGGCACUUCAAAACAUCCUUGGCAAAACAUUUCAUGAAGAGGAAAUGAAAAAUAACAACGAAAACCAACAGUGGGAGGUAGUACAGUAAAGGAAAAACUAAUAAAAGAGGAAAAACAAAUCAUGUUAAAUAACAAAAAUAAACAAAUAUGGCUGGAAGUACAAACUAUAUCUCAAUAGUAACCCUAAAUGUUAAUGGCUUAAACUCACCUAUCAAAAGACACAGGCUAGUAGACUGGAUUUAAAAAAAGAUCCAACAACAUGCUGCCUACAGGAGAAUCAUCUGAUAGGAAAAACAUACACAGACUGAAGGUGAAAUGUUGGGAAAAAUCAUACCACUCACAUGGACCUCGGAAGCAAGUGGGGGUGACCAUACUCAUAUCAACUAAAAUAGACUUCAAGCCAAAGUCAAUCAAAAAGGAUAAAGAAGGACACUAUGUACUGCUCAAGGGAACCAUACACCCACAAGACAUAACAAUCAUUAAUAUUAAUAUUAAUAAAACAAUGGUGCAGCUAUGUUCAUCAAACAAACUCUUCUCAAGUUCAAGAGUCAAAUAGACCACAACACAAUAAUCAUGGGUGAUUUUAACACACCUCUCUCACCACUGGACAGAUAUUCCAAACAAAAAUUGAAUAAAGAAACUAUUGAACUCAAUAACACAACUAAUAACUUAGACUUAAUUGACAUAUAUAGAAUAUAUCAACCAACACUUUCUGUGGAUACACUUUCUUCUCAGCAGCACAUGGAUCCUUCUCAAAAAUAGACCAUAUAUUAUGCCACAAGGCAACCCUUAGCAAAUACAAAGGAGUAGAGAUACUACCGUGCAUUUUAUCUGUUCAUAAUGUAAUGAAAUUGGAAAUCAAUGAUAAAAUAAGGAAGAAAAAUUCCUACAUCACAUGGAUAAUGAACAAUAUGCUACUGAAUGAACAAUGGGUUACAGAAGACAUCAAGGAGGAAAUUAAAAAAUUCUUAGAGGUAAAUGAGAACACAGACACAAUAUAUUGAAAACUCCUGUGCCGUAGUCUGGCUGGGCACAAUUCAGGAGCCACUUGUCAAAAGAAACGAACUUUAUUUUUAGAACCACACACGCCAAACAAAACAGCUCCUCAGGAAAACCUUCAGAGCCCAAGUGCCACCACCGGCUUCCCACAAGCCUCUCCACUUCCCCCCACUCCUCCUGCUCUUGAGGCCGAUUGGCUGGGUCACGUGGGCGGAGCCAAAAAAAGUCCCCCAAUGAGCAGCUCCGUAGUGGAAACAGCCCAAUGAGCAUCACCGCAGAGGAGCCAAUCAGCUAGAAGUUGCUGGGGCCGCUGUGAGCCAAUCAUCAGCUGGCAGUCUGAAAGUUUGCUGGGUCCCCUUUGGCUGUGGCUCUCAACACUCCUGGACACUAUGAAAGCAGUACUAAGAGGAAAAUUCAUUGCAUGGAGUUCAUUCCUUCAAAGAAGAAAAAUCCAACAAAUAAAUAAACUCACACUACAUCUCAAAGCCCUAGAAAAAGAAGAACAAAUCAGCAGCAAAUGCAGUAGAAGGCAAGAAAUAAUUAAAAUCAGAGCUGAAAUCAAUGAAAUCGAAACAAAAGAAACUAUUGAAAAAAUUGACAAAACUAAAAGUUGGUUCUUUGAAAAAUAAAUAAGAUUGACAGGCGCCCUUAGCCAUGCUAACAUAGAGAAGAAGAGAGAGAACCCAAAUUACUAGCAUAUGUUAUGAAAAAGGAAAUAUCACAACAGACACUACAGAAAUACAGAAGAUAAUUAGAAAUUAUUUUGAAACCUUAUACUCUAAUAAAAUAGAAGAUAUUGAAGGUAUCAAUAAAUUCCUAAAGUCACAUGACCUGCCCAGAUUGAGUCAGGAGGAUAUACACACUUAAACAGACCAAUAUCAAGUGAGGAAAUAGAAGAAGCCAUCAAAAGGUUACCAACCAAGAAAAGCCUAGGACCAGAUGGAUAUACAGCUGAGUUUUACAAGACCUUUAAAGAAGAACUAAUACCAAUACUCUUCAAUCUAUUUCAGGAAAUAGAAAAAGAGGGAGAACUUCCAAAUUCAUUCUAUGAGGCCAAUAUCACCCUGAUUCCAAAGAUACAUCAAAGAAAGAAAACUUCAGACCAAUAUCUCUAAUGAAUAUAGAUGCAAAAUCCUCAAUAAAAUUCUGGCAAAUCGAAUUCAAAAACACAUCAAAAAGAUUGUGUACCAUAAUCAAGUGGAAUUCAACCCAGGGAUGCAAGGUUGGUUCAACAUAUGGAAAUCAAUAAAUGUAAAUCAUCACAUCAAUAGCCUUAAAGAUCAGAACCAUUCGAUCAUCUCAAUAGAUGCAGAAAAAGCACUUGACAAAAUACAGUACCCUUUCAUGUUCAAAACACUAGAAAAACUAGGGAUAACAGGAACAUAUCUCAACAUUGUAAAGGCUAUCUACGCUAAGCCUCAGGCCAACAUCAUUCUAAACAGAGAAAAACUGAAGGCAUUCCCUCUAAAAUCUGGAAUAAGACAGGGAUUCCCUCUCUCACCACUUCAAUUCAACAUAGUUCUUGAAACGCUGGCCAGAGCAAUUAGACAGAUGAAAGGAAUUAAAGGAAUAACUAUAGGAAAAGAAUAACUUAAUCUAGCACUAUUUGCUGAUGAUAUGAUUCUAUACCUAGAAUACCCAAAAAACUCCACCAGAAAACUUCUAGAACUAGUAAAUGAAUUCAGCAAAGUGGCAGGAUAUAAAAUCAACACCCAUAAAUCAAAGGCAUUUCUGUAUAUCAGUGACAAAUCCUCUGAAAAGGAAAUGAGGAAAACUAUCCCAUUCACAAUAUCCUCAAAAAAUAAAAUACUUGGGAAUCAGUUUAACAAAAGAGGUGAAAGAUCUAUAAAAUGAAAACUACAGAAUCGUAAAGAGAGAAAGAGAAGAAGACCUUAGAAUAUGGAAAGAUUUACCUUCUGCUCAUGAUAGGCAGAAUUAAUAUUAUUAAAAUGACCAUACUACCAAAAGUACUACACAGGUUCGAUGCAAUUCCGAUCAAAAUCCCAAUGGCAUUCCUCAUAGAAAUAGAAAAAGCAAUCAUGAAAUUCAUCUGGAAAAAUAAGAGACCCAGAAUAGCUAAAGCAAUUCUAAGCAGGAAGAGUGAAACAGGUGGUAUCGCUAUACCAGACCUUAAACUAUACUACAGAGCAAUAGUAACAAAAAUAGCAUGGUACUGGCACCAAAACAGGCUGGCAGACCAAUGGUACAGAAUAGAGGACACAGAGACUAACCCACAAAAUUACAACUAUCUUAUAUUAGACAAAGGUGCCAAAAGCAUGUACUGGAGAAAGGAUAGCAUCUUCAACAAAUGGUGCUGGGAAAACUGGAAAUCCAUAUGCAACAAAAUGAAAUUGAAUCCCUAUCUCUCACCAUGCACAAAAGUUAACUCAAAAUGGAUCAAGGAUCUAGGAAUUAAACUACAGACUCUGUGUCUAAUAGAAAAAAAAGUAGGUCCUAAUCUUCAUCACGUGGGGCUAAGCCCCAACUUCCUUAAUAAGAUGCCUAUAGAACAAGAAUUAAAACCAAGAAUCAACAGAUGGGAUGGAUUCAGACUAAAAAGUUUUUUUUUUUUUUCUCAGCAAAAGAAAUAAUCUGUGAGGUGAACAGGGAGCCUACAUCCUGGGAACAAAUUUUUACCCCUCACACAUCAGAUAGAGCACUAAUCUCUAGGGUAUAUAAAGAGCUCAACAAGAUAAGCACCAAAAUAACAAAUAAUCCAAUCAAGAAAUGGGCCAAAGACCUGAACAGACACUUUUCAGAAGAGGAUAUACAAUUAAUCAACAAAUAUAUGAAAAAAUGUUCAACAUCUCUAGCAAUCAGAGAAAAGAUCAAAACUACUUUAAGAUACCAUCUCACUCCAGUAAGAAUAGCAGCUAUUAUGAAGACAAACAGCAACAAGUGUUGGUGAGGAUGUGGGGAAAAAAGUACACUCAUACACUGCUGGUGGGACUGCAAAUUACUGCAGCUAAUUUGGAAAGCAGUAUGGAGAUUCCUUGAAAAGCUGGGAAUGGAUCCACCAUUUGACCCAGCUAUUCCUCUUCUCAGACUAUACCUAAAGGACCCAAAAACAGCAUACUACAGGGAAACAGCCAUAUCAAUGUUUAUAGCAGCACAAUUCACAAUAGCUAAACUGUGGAGCCAACCUAGAUGUCCUUCAGUGGAUGAAUGGAUAAAAAAAAGGUGUGGCAUUUAUACACAAGGGAAUAUUACUCAGCACUAAAAAAAGAAUAAGAUCAUGAUAUUUGCAGGGAAAUGGAUGGCAUUAGAGAAGAUUAUGCUAAGUGAAGUUAGCUAAUCCCCUCCUCCCCAAAACAAAUGCCGGAUGUUUUCUCUGAUAUAAGGGGGGUGACUCAAAGUGGGGUAGGGAGGGAGAGC